AUGCGUAGUCCUCUUCCAUGGCGGCUCGGCCCCAAAGAUGUUGACGGCGCCACAGAGACAAUAAAUCUUAUUCUGGGUAACUUUAAAGUCAUAUAUUUUGAUGGUUGGAAUGGAUUUGGAGCAUCCUCUGUUCUUAGAUCCAUAGCUGCAAUGCUUCCAUCUAGGAGAACCCCUCCGGAACAAGUCUUCGACAAAAAAAUUCUUAUAGAUUGCUCAAAGUGGAAAAAUAAAAGAGGAGUGCAGAGGGCAAUUGCAAAGGAACUGCAACUUGAUCGCUCUAUAAUGGCUAUUCUAGAUGAGCAAGAUGAAGAUGAUGAUUUUUGGGGACGUGAUGAAAGCUCAAGGUGUGAGAUAGAUAGUGUUAGUCAAGUGAUUGAUAGGACCCUGAGGGAUAUCAAACUUAUGAUGAUUUUUCUUAAUGGGAGUGAUGAUGAGGUUGACGUAGGUCCCAUGGGUAUUCCUCUACCAAGAUAUGGCGACAACAGGGUGAUAUGGACCUUCAGCGGAAGCUACAUGUCCAUGCAUCAUAACCAAUCCAAGGUGGCAAGCAAGCUAAGAUCUACUGAGUUUUUUUUCUAUUGCUCUAUCGAAGAAUUGACAAGCUCACAGUUUCGUGGAUUGCUACAUCAACAAGCUGGUAGCAUAGUUGCUCGCAACCCAUGUAGGCUGGACAUUGACCAAACAAUUAUUGCAGAUUGCUGUCUCUACGAGUUAUUCCUACACUAUAAUUUCCACACCGUCACUAAAUUUGAUUGGGUUUCUCAUGCUUCUAACUAUUGGAUAUGCGAUGGGAUCAUACAAUGGGAAAGAGCAAGGGAUAUUAGUAAUGCAUUGCAUCUAGAGAUAAAUUGGAAGUGUGACGCUUCUCUGCUAGAUCAUGUUCUUAAAAUGUUCAUGGAACAUUCAGAGUCUCCUUUUCUGGCAAUUAAAGAUGACGAUCUCUAUGAAGAAGGCCCAUAUCGUUGGAUUUCGGUCACGUCGAGAGAUGCAGAAGUACAUGGGAUGAAAGCAAUACCUGCAGAGGCGUCAUCUUUCUUCUUGGCAUUUGAAAUAUCCAAUCCCCCAAGAGCUUUGCCAGAUGACAAAACUAUUGGAGGAGAGAAUCAUGCAGUUUGGUUAUGUCUGAGUAGCUUGUGGGUGUUGGACCUGCGUUACACCGAUUGGAAUGAAAUCUUAUCCAAGGAAAUGUUAAAUCUCAUGAAAAAUAUCAGAGAGUUAAAUAUAGAGGGAGUCAGGGGCUGGCAAUACACUACUGAUCUACAAGGGCGAUUACCUAACCUCCAGAGGCUCAGAAUAAUCAAACCGACGUGUCAAUGGGAGACCUCAGAGGAUGUCAAUAACUCCUCUACGGAUAAGAAAAGUAUGGAAAUACUUGACUUGUCUGGCAAUUGUGACAUGAAAAUUCUUCCACCAAGCCUAUCGAAGGCAACUAGCCUCCGGUUGCUUGUACUUGAUGGUUGUGAUGGACUGGAAAGCAUUGGUAGGCUCCCUCCCUCCCUUGAAUCAUUUAGCUUUAAUGGAUAUGGGCCAGCUUCUCAAUGGACAGAAACUGCUGAGCUACCUUCAAAACAAUUUCGUCCAUCCAGCAGAACAGAUAAUAAGGAUGUCAGAAUAUCCAAGAUCUCCUUAGCAGGCUGCACCCAGUUGGAGAAUUUGUAUUUGUGUGGGCUACCCAACCUGGUGGAAUUGGACCUCUCUGGAACAUCAAUCAAGAUACUUGACUUCGAGACUAUGGUGGUGCAAAUCCCAAGGCUCAAGCGGCUGUUUCUAAUAGGAUGCAAGCACCUUCGUGCAAUAACCUUUUCGCACGAGAGUGUUCCUGACCUGGAGUUGCUGUGCGUAGACACGCGAGCUGGAAUCGUGUGUCCUCUUCGGCCAUCCAUCAGUAAAAACAAACCCACCAGGUUGCAGGUGCAUGGUGUUGUUGUAGAUGCAAGGCUUACUCACUCCUUGUCGAAUCUGAUCUUUAAUUAUAGACAAGGUGGUGUCCACUUUAAUAUCCACGUCACAUCCUCACCUAUGUAUGACGGGAUUAUUCAAUUUGAAGCAACCAACAAGGAUAUGAUUGGCCCCAGUGAUCAAGAGAGCCUGCAGCUUAUUCCAACGGGCCGGUACAGUGAUGUCCUUGGGAUGGUUGGCGUUGUCCCAAUGCAGGCCUUUCCACAGCCUCCGACUACAAAGUUUGAUCGACAUGUAGAGAUUGCUGAUGGGAGCUUCUACGUGGAGAGAGAACUUGGCGAAGCACUAGGCCAACUGAUGGGAAAUCAUGCGGAAUCCCUGCAUGUGCAUGAUAUCUUGGUACGUGCUAUUAUGCCUAAAUACAGUUCGUGGGUGCUUAGGUGGUGCUGCGUGGAGAGGUGCCCAAAAGUGGAUACCGUCUUCCCUGGGAAUUCAUUCGAGUUUACUGCAUUGGAGACCUUCUGGGUGUCAGAUCUCAUGAUGGCCCGCUCGAUUUUGAGUAAAGGUUCACGCUUUAAUGGAUAUGGUGAGAUUGGAUCCUUCAAAAGUUUACAGCACCUUCAGCUGCGUUCAUGCCCCAGCCUCCAAUUUGUGCUCCCGGUGUGGGUCUCCUCCUUCCCCAGCUUGGUGACCCUCCAUAUCAUCCACUGCGGCAACCUCAGCCACGUCUUCGUACUGGACGAAGAGUACCCUGAAGAAAUAACCACCCUUGGUGUACUAUUCCCGAAGCUGACAACCAUCGAUUUGCAUGACCUGCCGAAGCUGGAGAACAUAUGCGAGGUCCAGAUGGUGGCCCCUGCGCUCGAGAGCAUCAAGAUCAGGGGAUGCUGGAGCCUGCGCCGGCUGCCAUCUGUGGGUGCGCAUGGCAAUGGCAAGAAGAAGCCGGCCAUUGAGAUCGAGAAGGACGUGUGGGACGCCUUGGAGUGGGACGCCCGCCACCGCCCUGUCCACUUCCAGGCGCCGGUCCACUCGCGCUACUACAAGGAGAAGCUGCCCAGGGUCUCCGUCCUUAGGUGA
Molecule: ribosomal RNA, 2976 nt
Filed under: Triticum aestivum (bread wheat)
Lineage: Eukaryota; Viridiplantae; Streptophyta; Magnoliopsida; Poales; Poaceae
Description: partial small subunit ribosomal RNA
Source: RNAcentral